UCGGGAAUAUUGCGCAAUGGAGGAAACUCUGACGCAGUGACGCCGCGUAUAGGAAGAAGGUUUUCGGAUUGUAAACUAUUGUCGUUAGGGAAGAAAAAAGACAGUACCUAAGGAGGAAGCUCCGGCUAACUACGUGCCAGCAGCCGCGGUAAUACGUAGGGAGCAAGCGUUAUCCGGAUUUAUUGGGUGUAAAGGGUGCGUAGACGGGUAAUCAAGUUAGUUGUGAAAUCCCUUGGCUUAACUGAGGAACUGCAACUAAAACUGGUUAUCUUGAGUACAGGAGAGGUAAGUGGAAUUCCUAGUGUAGCGGUGAAAUGCGUAGAUAUUAGGAGGAACACCAGUGGCGAAGGCGACUUACUGGACUGAAACUGACGUUGAGGCACGAAAGUGUGGGGAGCAAACAGG
Molecule: ribosomal RNA, 405 nt
Filed under: uncultured bacterium
Lineage: Bacteria
Description: bacterial SSU rRNA
Rfam family: Bacterial small subunit ribosomal RNA
Source: RNAcentral